GAGAUUGUAUUAUAAAUUAGUAUUUUUCUUUUUCGAGGAAGAGGUCGGGAUCUUG
RNAcentral lists this transfer RNA (55 nucleotides) under Gnathostoma doloresi. RNAcentral's name for it is "tRNA-Glu". Lineage: Eukaryota; Metazoa; Nematoda; Chromadorea; Rhabditida; Gnathostomatidae. The record is from RNAcentral.